AGGCAGAGUGAACUGACUGCUCCUUUUCACUCAGCGCUCCUCCACUGUAGGUUCUGCACUGUAAGUGUUUGGAGCCUGGGUAAAACUCUUUGCCUCUCAAGAUUCCAUACUGCAGGAGAAUUUUUAAGAUAUUUGACUGUCUUGUCUGAGCCACGUAGAGUAGAGGUGUGAUGCCACUCAGGGGGCUGGGGCAGUACACGGGUGUGAAGGUUCUGCAAACCAAAAGCAGAGUGACCACCAUGGAGCUAACGUUCACCUGCAAUGUCUAAGAAGGAUUUGCCAUUGUAACUAUGGACCAAACUGAAGGAGGAAAGAAAACUCCCACCAAAUGCUGAAGCCUCCUUUCACAUCUGUGAAAAGCACACCACAUGGGCAAAGCACUUAGUCGCAGCAGCUGUGUGUCGCUGCUGUGUCUCCCACACGGGGGGGGGGGGGACAUAAACCUUACCAAGCUCUGCAAAUAUAACAUGAAAAUUAAAAAUAAAAACAGUUUUCUUAUUGCUUAUUUUUUA
Molecule: long non-coding RNA, 512 nt
Filed under: Mus caroli (Ryukyu mouse)
Lineage: Eukaryota; Metazoa; Chordata; Mammalia; Rodentia; Muridae
Description: lncRNA (MGP_CAROLIEiJ_G0003473.1)
Source: RNAcentral